UUUGCCAUUUAGAUUGUUUAAUAUGAGAUUUAAUUGUGUGAUUUGAUCAAGUUUUGAGUGAUUCAAAGCUGGUUGCAUUCAUCAAUAUGGCGGCAUGUGUGUGGGUGCUCACCAUGGUUGCGCCAUGAAGAAAAUGAACACCCCAUACGAGUGUUUGAUGUUUUUGCGCAUGGUUAUGGGCCAAGUUGUGCAAUUGUUGUACAUUUAAAGCCCAUAAUUAGGCCCAUGACUAA
Molecule: unclassified non-coding RNA, 233 nt
Filed under: Hevea brasiliensis (rubber tree)
Lineage: Eukaryota; Viridiplantae; Streptophyta; Magnoliopsida; Malpighiales; Euphorbiaceae
Source: RNAcentral